UCAGAGAGAGGAGAUUCUAACUCCCACCCUUGGCUCCCAAAGCCAAAAUUCUAAGUUUAACUACCCUCUG
This 70-nucleotide transfer RNA is filed under the name Hime japonica. Its description in RNAcentral is "tRNA-Pro". Lineage: Eukaryota; Metazoa; Chordata; Actinopteri; Aulopiformes; Aulopidae. The record is from RNAcentral.